UACGAAGGGGGCUAGCGUUGCUCGGAAUCACUGGGCGUAAAGGGUGCGUAGGCGGGGCUUUAAGUCAGGGGUGAAAUCCUGGAGUUCAACUCCAGAACUGCCUUUGAUACUGAAGAUCUUGAGUUCGGGAGAGGUGAGUGGAACUGCGAGUGUAGAGGUGAAAUUCGUAGAUAUUCGCAAGAACACCAGUGGCGAAGGCGGCUCACUGGCCCGAUACUGACGCUGAGGCGCGAAAGCGUGGGGAGCAAACAGG
RNAcentral lists this ribosomal RNA (253 nucleotides) under uncultured bacterium. RNAcentral's name for it is "partial 16S ribosomal RNA". It matches the Rfam family "Bacterial small subunit ribosomal RNA", at positions 524 to 776 of the family's 1533-position model. The record is from RNAcentral.